Molecule: long non-coding RNA, 1224 nt
Filed under: Papio anubis (olive baboon)
Lineage: Eukaryota; Metazoa; Chordata; Mammalia; Primates; Cercopithecidae
Description: lncRNA (ENSPANG00000040280.1)
Source: RNAcentral
UCCCAGUGUAAUGCAAAUAAGGAGAGCGGCUGGAGUGAAUGGAAAGCACCAUUACACUUUUAUGAAGAUGAACCUUGAUGAAGAUGAGCAAUGGAAAUGUGUCGUGGAAAGUCAGCGAUGCUAAGGAGCCAUGGCUGGAAGGUUCUGCCGAGGCAGCAGGUGUGGAGGCGGAGGCACCGAGGUGCCACACCUUGCACAGGCUCCCCAGUUUGUCUCUAGUGGAUCCUGCACUCCAUCAGUAAACCUUGUUUUGAACAUACUCUUCAUCCAUGUAAGAGAUGAAAAAAAAUAUUAAGAGAAGCUCUAAAAUGUUCUCCCUGCCCCUGCGGCCUUCAUUGUGUGUCCUGCUUCACACCGGGGCAUCUGGGAGCUGCAGAGACGGGGAAUAGGAAAAGCGAUUUCGGGGUCUAUUGGCUCAGGCUUGAACAGCGAAAGGGAGGUUGGAUAGGCGGAACUUGUAUAAAAAGGUUUAAGGGCUUUCUCAGUAAGAGGCUUAAUGAGGGCUAAUAUGUGCCAUCUAAUGUGGAGCAUCUAUUUUUAGGAAAGCUUGAUUUUGCUAAGUGUCUCUGAGAUGUUAGGAUUCAGACGGUAGGGCAAAUGAUGGCUUUGGAAUAAGGUGUUCUUAUGUAAAUCCCCGGGCUCUGCAGCCAAUGAGAUUACCCAUUCCAGUUACAAGGGGGAUAUGGGAGGGGGUGGAGGCCCCAAAGGGUGGGAUCAGGGGCCGGCUGUGGAGCCAGCUCUGCCCUGAAGGGGCUGAAGCCCACCCAGCCUGCAGCUGCUCCCUGCUGCGGGACAGCCCUGGAAGUUCUGCAGCUCCCAUCAAAGCGCAGGUCUUCAUGGACUGCAGCAUUCGGGACCUGAGUCCAUGCCCAUGCAGAGGCCCACUGCGUUUCCAGAAUGCAGGCAGGAGAAGCUGUAAUAGAUUCUCACCCUGCCAUGCGCACUGAUGCUCACAUUCUAAACAGUCAGGAGAGCAGAGCAGAGGAACACCAGUGCAUUUUGCCCGUGGGAAGCCCGCAUUGUGAGCCUUCCGUCCUUGGCGGUUGGCCGUGUCUGGAGGUGCCGGCUGACAGGCAACAUGCCUUUCUUCCUUCCUUUCUUUCUCUCUCUCUCUCUCUCUCUCUCUCUCGGAGUCUCUCUCUGUCUCGGCUCUCAGCAACCUCUGCAUCCCGGGUCCUGGUUCAAGCAAUUAUCUCAUCUCAGCCUCCCGAAUAGCUAGGAUUA